This 395-nucleotide long non-coding RNA is filed under the name Amborella trichopoda. RNAcentral's name for it is "long non-coding RNA (ATRI_LNC002799)". Lineage: Eukaryota; Viridiplantae; Streptophyta; Magnoliopsida; Amborellales; Amborellaceae. The record is from RNAcentral.
UUGUUUCAAAGAAUAUAUAUAAAUAUACGACUAGUAACAGUUAAUGAUAGAUACAAACAGUUAUGGAUAGAUACCACCUAAUCUUAUCAUAGCUUCAACGUCUAUUUUGAUCUCUAGUUAUAAAAUUUAAAAUUUCAAAAAUGGUAUAGAUCAAACAUAUAAAUGAAAACUUGAAAAUCUUGAAUAUAAAUGAUCCAGAUAACUUAUAACAAGAUGGACUAUUUUAGACUUGGAAUUCUUUUUUCUUUUUCUUUAUGUCCAUGUAUUACAUAGUCGGGAUGAUCAAUUGGAGGGUUCUCCAACACUGGAAUAUAUUCUUUAAGAUAUUUGAGGUGCACUUUAUUUCAAGAGUAUAUAAGAUUGCAACCUUAUAGAAUUUUUUUAUAAGAAGCGAC